GAGAAAAGAAGUUCCGAUUUUGCAAGCCAUCCUAUGACAAGGUCAUGCCUGCAACCUUGUCUGAAUUGGGCUUCUCAGAAUUGGUAUCUGUUUACAAUGAGCUCAAAGAGCUGGGAAGACCCCCUCCAAUCAUUGAUGCAGCUGAACUUCAAAAGGAUCCCGAGGCAACUUUACGUGGUCUUUGUGAAGACCUUGGCAUUCCUUUUCAACACAAAAUGCUGAAAUGGGAAGCUGGUCCCAAAGCAAUAGAUGGUGCAUGGGCUCCAUGGUGGUAUAAAACUGUACA
This 286-nucleotide unclassified non-coding RNA is filed under the name Hevea brasiliensis (rubber tree). The record is from RNAcentral. Lineage: Eukaryota; Viridiplantae; Streptophyta; Magnoliopsida; Malpighiales; Euphorbiaceae.